Molecule: ribosomal RNA, 362 nt
Filed under: Caecilia tentaculata
Lineage: Eukaryota; Metazoa; Chordata; Amphibia; Gymnophiona; Caeciliidae
Description: 12S ribosomal RNA
Rfam family: Bacterial small subunit ribosomal RNA
Source: RNAcentral
CUACAUCUGCCAGAGUACUACGAGCACUAGCUUAAAACUCAAAGGACUUGGCGGUGCCCCAAACCCACCCAGAGGAGCCUGUUCUAUAAUCGAUACCCCACGUUUUACCUCACCACCCUUCGUAAUCAGCCUAUAUACCACCGUCGCCAGCCAACUUCCUGAAAACCCCAUAGUUAGCUAAACUGUAAGUCACAAACACGUCAGGUCAAGGUGUAGCACACAGGGUGGAAAGAAAUGGGCUACAUUUUCUCUAAUAAGAAUCCACGAAUAAUGUAAUGAAAAAUAAUUUGAAGGCGGAUUUGGCAGUAAGAGGUGACCACUAUGCCCCUCUUAAUUUGGCUCUGAGGCGCGCACACACCGCC